GUACAAAUUCCGCUGAGCAAAAGAAUAAGAGUUGCUGAACAGCAGCCAAGAGACUAACCCAGCAACAGCUGACAUGGAUACACAUCUUGUCUCCACAUUUGAAGGUGAAGAGAAACCCAAGUUGCCAGAGCUCAGAGGUAGGACAGCUGUAAAGCCUCCUGCUUCAGUUAAUGAAGUGUGUGGUGCUCCCAGCUUUGAGAAGAACAUCCAUCCAGAAUUUGAGCCCUGCAGUGCUCCAGGAUUUGAGGACUGCAUUCCACCACAUUUUGAUUAUCCCACACCCCUAGAGUUUGACUGUGCUCCUGCAGAGUUUGAUGACUGCAGUCUCCUAGGGUCUGACAACUUGAACAAUGAAGGCUAUGCUAUUACACCACGUCUGCAAGAUGCAAAGUCUCCUGCAAAUGCAGUGCAGGAGUUCAUUCCAUUCAGUAUGUUUCGUUCAGAAGGGGAUACACAGAGGACAAGUUUGGACAUUCAGACUAUUAGAUUUGCCAGAAAACGUGUUGGCAGGAUUGGGAUGAGAUUUGGAUUCUUUCCUUCUCUCUCAUCUGGCUUUGAGCUAACCUUGUAAUUCUGCUGUUGCUCAGAGAAACCUGAUUUUUUGCUUGCUUUGAAGAAUUGGCUGAAAGUCUGAAGAGAAAUCUCUCUGGAGAUUAGUUUGUUUUCCAGGGACGAUUCCUUUCUCUACCCUUUGUGUUUCUGAAGGUCUUCCAGGUGGACCCAUUUGGAAUCCCUUGGAAAACAGACAUAAUUAACCAUGAGAAGAGUUCGGUCACUGCAUCUUUACUUACGCUAAAAGGUGUCACCUUUGUACCUAUCUUGUGUGGUCCACACACUUGUGUGAAUGGAUGGGGAAGAGGGUGAACACCUUGACAGACUGAUGGACAUGAGCAGUUUGCCUAAGCCUUCAGAUAAUACAUACCAUCAAGAAAGCUGCAGUUUAGGCAUGAUUUUGAUGCUGGCCAUUGAGGUAGAGUCAGUUCAAACCAUAGAAGGGAAGUGUACUCUACCGAAGAUGAUGCAGCAGUUUUUGACGAGGAACUGCAAUCAGUAUAACUGCCUGUCUUUAAAACCCUUACCCCUCCAACUGUGCUCAGAAAGGAGAGGUUAGAUAUUUUUUGGAGGGGAUCACCUGCUAGCUCACAUUCAGGCUUAUCACAGCAAAUACUUGGUUUGAAGGCAAAACUCUUCAGUCCGCAGUGUGAGUUUAUGAGUAUUCAUGGUGUAAAAUUGAACUCCUAAUGGGUACUUGUUGGGAAAGAUGAAGAAGCUGCUUCAGCUGUUUACUAGUCAGAAUCCACUGAAUAGAGCCUUAGACUCACUGAGAAGCAUCAUGAUUUGGUGACAGUGAAUGACAUUUCUGGAGAUGCCCAGUCUGACAUCUUCUUUGGAAAAAUUGUGAUCUGAUGAUGACAAAGUGUCUGAAACCAGAGCAAGAAAGCUAAAAUGCUACUAAAGUUUUGAGUCAGAGGAUGGAUGGAUGAAGAUCUUAUUCCAAAUGGGCAGUGCGCUUGGAGCUUCCUCCUGCCUGCAGGGGGAAAGCUCAGUCACACUGGCAAAGUCCUGACUGCUUUUUCAGCAAGGCUUCAGUUUGCAGUGUGGCCAACAGGGGCUGUGCCAUCUGCGACAUGAGCUGGAUGGCUUUGUGCUGCAAAGAAACGUGCAGGUAUCUGCUGUUAAGCUACAGCAGUACAAGUACAGCAGAUGUGAGCAUGCAGCUCUGGUGAGGGAAGGAGCAACUGUGGCUGUGGACCUGAGAGCUGAAAUUUCCCAGCUUCCAUGUGUCACUACCAUUCCUUCUGAAACACUGGUUUUAUGUGCUCUUCUUAAAUGGUUUUCUAUGCAGAUGUAGUUCUACACAAGAUAACUAGAGCAAUGUCCUUGAAGAUACCCCAUUUUGUCUAGUUGAGGUACUUGCUAUAGCUUCCAGAUGUGUUGCUUAUCACUGAUAAAUGUCCUUUCUAACCACCAGGCUUCUAUAAUAACAGCAACAUCCUCUAAAUGGGGGCUGAAGUCCCAAACAGUAACCAAUCAUUGGAAACUAAGUGGAGACCAAGUGCCCUUAGAAAACCUGUGUCCUCACAUGGAUAGCAUGAGGAGGACACCUCCCCAUAUGACCACCGACCCCUGCACAAGCACAGAAGAUUCGGAUACGUUUGCGUAACCUUGUACUUGCAGUAAUCUCAUGAAUAUGUAAUAGAUAGAUGCCUUAUGUAGUGGAUAGGUGUGUACUGAGAACUGCUGGGUUAUAAAUAGUGGAGAGUGCGAUGACUCAGAUCCACUUGAUUUGUGGAGAUUACUCACCUUGAGUGCUGUGCAGAAAUAAAGCAAUGUUUCCUCUCUAAUCACUUGUCUUUUCAAUGUGUUUCAGGACAUUUUGAAAUCGACAUCACCACCACCGUUCCUUCUUACGUGCUUUUCUUAAGCAGUUGUGACAUGCCCAGCACUGCCUGGAGUGUGGUGAUGAGUACCAUAUCACCACAAGUCUUCAAGGCCUAAGGUUUGUGGUUCUGCGGCUAACAAAUCAACUGAUGGAUGGGAAAUCGGGGAAUCUCAAACAGUAUGAUACUACCACUGGUGCACCAGUGUGGUAGUGAUCAGUGCCUGCUGUUCUUCAGCUCUUAGCAAUCCCCCAUCAGAAAGGUCUUUUGAGAGGAUGGGCGAGGUAGACAGUUGCCUGAUGUUCUCCAUCUCCAAGGCACCUAUACAAAAAACCUAUUGGUAUUCUUUGAGUCCUUGAAGUACCCUUUCCUGAGGUAAUCUACACCAAGGAUGUGCAGAGCCUCUGGACCAGUCGCAAUGGGGUGUUUUUGCUACUCAUUCUCAGUCAGGCUCAAUUCAGACUCCACUAAAAUUAGCUCCUGGGAUCCCCCUGUCACUCCGGAGGUACAGACAGGUUCUGACCCUUCAUAACUUUAUGGCACUAGGCUCUUAUACUCCUGUGGUUCUGAUGUGCCAAGCCAUUGAAUCCGCACAGCCCAAUAAACCCGAUUGUCCCUUUCCUCCACCUGACUGGAGGCAGGGCCCUUCUAGUUCUGGUUAUUCUAUUCAUCAGUCAUGAAUGCAAACCACAAGGCUGGUUAUCAAACUCAGAAAUAAGGUCAGACCACCUACUCUGUUUGAAGAACUGCCCACUGGAGACUGGAGUGGUCAUUUUCCAGGAAGAACUCUCUUUUGUGAUGGCUUUCCCUCGCAACUCACAUAUCCAUACCUCUAGGCUUCAAGUGAGUUUUCCAUCCCAUUUCCUCAUAUCCUCUCCAUGGCCAUGCAGGUAAGACCACCGGUUAGCACGUGGUGUAUACCCAAUAUAUCUUCUGUCUUGAAUUAAAAAAUGCUUACUUCUGGUAUCUGAGAUGCUAGUCCAUGCAGAUAGGACAGAAGAUUUAUUCCCUUUGAGUUGUUGGGCCACUUCGGAAUGCUUCUCCACAGCUGAAACACAGGCCCUUAGAGAGAAGGAGAGAGAUAUUUUGCUGGAGUUCAUCAGCGAAUUUAUCCACCAUUUGUUCCUCUCCCUCUUUCCAGGUCAUUUCUGCAGUGAGUUGGCAUACAGAGAUGGUGAACUCCGUACAAACUUACGCCACAUGGAUUGUGGAAUAACACAUCUCAAUUUUGGAAUAAUCAGAAGUUCAGGCCAAUAUUAUGCACCAUCUCCAGCACAGCCAAUUCCCUCAGAUACUGGAUACCUCUUUCCAUGGUGGUCCACUUGCCUGGUUGACAUAAUAUUGUCCCUAGAGGAACUGCAGCAACCUGGCUCCCAUGCUCACUGAAUCCAGACUAUCAACACCACAUCCCAGCAUUGAAGCGGCUGGGUGACAGCGUGCUCACCUGGAUGAUCGCUGAAAUCUUUCCACAUAUCUUGCACAGGUAUCAGGCAUCAGUUUCAGAAAUGGCCAGCCUGUUCUGAGGGAGGUUCCAGGGAACUACAGUCAAGGCAGCUUCACCUCAAACCCUGGGAAUGAUCUGCAGACAUGUGAAGGAAAAGAAAGUGAUGAUAUAAACCUAUGAAGUGUGGCCUAGGUAAGUGGAUUGAACACUCUGAUGUGGACUGAACGCUGACUGAACUGCUGGGCUCAGAGGACUAGAGGUACACAAUCCAGUGGCUAGCCAGUCCCUAAUAGUAUAGCCCAGGGCUUGAUACUGACCCUAAUACUGCUUAACUUCUUCAUCACUGACACAGAUGCUGUGACAGAGUAUUUAUCACCUGCAAACUUGCAGAGAUAGCACAAGACUGGGAGGUGUGGCUGCCACACGAGGAGAGGGGCUUUGGCAGGCUGGAGAAAGUUUCACAAAGCGGCAUGAAAUUUAACAAAUGGAAUUGUGGAACCUGGGAAGGAAUAACCUCACAUGCCAGUAUGCAUAGGGGACCGAGUGACUGGAAGGAAGUUUUGCUGAGAAGAACCUGGUUGUCCUGGUGGACACCAAGUUUAAUGUGAGCCAGCAACAGGCUCUUGUCACAUCAAAGGUCAACAGUACCCUCUUCAAAAUGGUUUGUUGUUCCUUGUGCAAGAGGAAGUAAAACCGUAACUGUCAAAGCCUACUAAGUAUGUAAAUGGAGGGAAAGCCUUGAAAAGAGAAGUACUCUGAAUCUGUGACGAUGCAUGCAAAUAUCAUCUUAUUCAGUGAUUGUAUGACCAUUUUAAACCGUAACCUGGAGGCACAUGUUUAAAUCCAUAAGCAUUCCAAAGAAAAAAGAAAGAUAACAGUCCUUUAGAACACAUGUAGGCUUUCCCUCUUCUGCGUAGUUUGUAUAUUGCACGUAUUUGCCCACUUCUACGUGUAAUUAUUAUAAAAGUCUUCAAAAUCAAAACUUUUUUGACAAAUCAAGUAAAGUAACUAAAAUAAUGUGUCUUUGCAGCACAGGUGAAGGUGCCUCUGCUUUGAUUUCAGUAUUACUCUUACCUUUCCAUAUACAGCCUUUGUGAACUUUCCACAGCCAGCCUCAUUACUUAGAGUUGCAAACAUUCUCAGCACAGAUGUCAUGUACACUGUUGUCAUGAUUUGCAGUAGAUUUCCCAGAAACUGAAGAGGUUGCUCACACACUGCUAUAGCCACAAAGCUUCAGAAUACGAUUGUCACCCGAUCUUUUUACUCCUUACCUGAGUGGUUUUCCGUUUGGUGUCUCCAUACUACAGUGUUUGAAUGCACUCAGUGCCAGAAACAUGAACCUCUUCAGCCAAAGGAACCACAGAAACCCCACUGUUCACCCCUAUUGCCCCAAAUCUGGUUUCAUGAAAUGACUGCAUAUCUAAAGUCGCAGCCCACAUUUCUUGACCAUGCAAUUGGUUCACAGACGUAUGCUGCAGUUUUAAAGCAGUGUCUAUGCUUCUGCUUCUGCUUAUUCUCAGUAGCUGGGUCAGUCUGAGACUUCUGAAAUUGUGUCAAUCAUUCGGUUUUAGAGAAGGGGACUGUGGUUAAAUGGUAUCGAGUGGUGUAUUUCAAAGCAUGCCACGUGUGGAUUGGGUAGAGAUGUUCAGCAUCAGCAGAGGUUAGACGAGAGAGGGGAACAGGAUGGAGCAGCAGGAAGAUGUCAGUGGAAAGGGAGUAAAAGAUCCUUGUUGGAUACCUCCUGACCAUGUGGUUUGUGGUCUUCUGUCAGUUUUCUUUCCUCGUUAAACUGCAGCAUUUCCCUUUGCCUCCUUUAGACAAUUUGGAGAGUUGUGGUCUGGAAGAAAUUGCAUUCCUCUGAUGCCUUUACUUUAAAUAUUGCAUGGCUAUGCUCAGGAAGUCCUACAUGAAGAAAUAUUGUAGCAGAGGUGUCUUCCUGGAAAAAUAAGUCCCCUGGGAAAGACAUCCCUCAGAAGUCCAUUCUUUUUAUCUCCAGGUAAGCUAUGUUGCAUGUGUAUUCAAAGGCAGAAUGGAUGUAAAUGCUUGUAGAGCAACUUUGCCUGUAGUAAAGCAGUGUUUCCAAAUCAGAGAACAUAAACAGAAGGAGCAACAUGAGACGCAUGUAUAACUGUAGCUAUACAAAAAUAAAUGUAAGCCAAAUUUACAGAAGUCGUAGAAGUAUGUAUCUCAAGGCUGAAUGCAAUUAAGUGUAAGGAAGAUGAUUAAUUUUACCCUCAAAUCUUCUGAACUUUGAGCAAAUAUAUAUAUCUUCAUGUAGACGUGCAACAUUUAAAUCUUUAGUAAUGAAGUAUUUUAUGUCUUCUGAACCCUUAAAAUUAGUUCAGAAUUAAUCGGCUUAUGGUCAAGACUUUCCUCUUCGGUUUGUAAAGUGCUGUAAUUGCAGGCAUUACAGACCACUUGGCUUCAGUUGCAGACAGAAGCUGCAGCCUGUCUUUCAGCUCAGACUGACCGUCAGAACUCAGUUCUUCUAAUUUGUCUCACUUCCUCAUGCUGCAUUCACUGUUGUGCUGCUCAGCGCUGUUGUACAGGACAUGCAGAAACUCAGAAGCAAAUUCUGCC
Molecule: long non-coding RNA, 6405 nt
Filed under: Gallus gallus (chicken)
Lineage: Eukaryota; Metazoa; Chordata; Aves; Galliformes; Phasianidae
Description: lncRNA (ENSGALG00010008676.1)
Source: RNAcentral